GACGAACGCUGGCGGCGUGCUUAACACAUGCAAGUCGAACGAUGAUGCCAGCUUGCUGGUGGAUUAGUGGCGAACGGGUGAGUAACACGUGAGCAACCUGCCCCUGACUUCGGGAUAACCGCGGGAAACCGUGGCUAAUACCGGAUAUGACGCGCUAUCGCAUGGUGGUGUGUGGAAAGAUUUAUCGGUUGGGGAUGGGCUCGCGGCCUAUCAGCUUGUUGGUGGGGUGAUGGCCUACCAAGGCGACGACGGGUAGCCGGCCUGAGAGGGUGACCGGCCACACUGGGACUGAGACACGGCCCAGACUCCUACGGGAGGCAGCAGUGGAGAAUAUUGCACAAUGGGCGCAAGCCUGAUGCAGCGACGCCGCGUGAGGGAUGACGGCCUUCGGGUUGUAAACCUCUUUCAGUAGGGAAGAAGGCCUUCGGGUUGACGGUACCUGCAGAAGAAGCGCCGGCUAACUACGUG
RNAcentral lists this ribosomal RNA (468 nucleotides) under uncultured bacterium. RNAcentral describes it as "partial 16S ribosomal RNA". It matches the Rfam family "Bacterial small subunit ribosomal RNA", at positions 28 to 507 of the family's 1533-position model. The record is from RNAcentral.